GAGAGAGAGAGAGAGAGAGAGAGAGAGAGAGAGAGAGAGAGAACAUGAUGUAGGGUGUAGAGAUGUGUAGGGUCGUGGUGGGUGUCUGUUGUUCUGCUUUUAUGACUCUUUUUUGUUUGUCCCUUCUCUCUACAAAAACCCUUCUUUUCUUCUCACUCUUCAUUACUUAUCAUCUCCAUCUCUCUAUCCCCUUCUUCCUCACACAGCCCCUUGGUUCAAUAUCUCUCAUCCAGAAAUUUCGCAUAAUCCCAUCUCUCUCUCUCUCUCUCUCAUGCGACGAGGUUCAUGAAUAUGUAUCACAAGAAGCGGAGAAGAAUAUGAAGUUUUGAUCUUUUGAGGGGAAUGUUGUCUGGCUCGAGGCCACCAACCAGAUCAUGUGAUCUAACAACACAGAGAGAUCUCUGAUCAUGCGUUAGUGUCGUCGGACCAUGCUUCAUUCCCCCCAAUUGUCCUGCUUCCAGAUUUUGUCCGCUUCGUGUUCAUCCUUGGAUACAGAAAUCGAUCCGGAGACAUUAUUUUCUUCUCUCCAUUGUCUAUGUAUGCUAUUUUUUCCAAGAAACAUAUUGCUGGUUUCUAACAAGUUUUUUCUUUUGGUUUUUGGUGUAGUUGAUGAGAAAUUGAAGUAGGUGGGCAAGACCAGAUUGGUGUAAUGAUGAAGGAUCUUGACUUAUUAGACUCUGCAAAGAAGAGGGGAAGGGAAAAGUUUUCAUCAUUGCUCAACUGGGGGUAUCUUUUUACAAUACUGCCAGGUACCUAAAAAAAAAAAUACUUUGAAAUUAUCCCUCAGGUAUUUAUGACCAUUAAUAGAUUUUUAUGAGCGAUAAAAAAUACCUGUUUGGAGUACCUAGCAUUGCUGAUCUUUUUAAGAAAGAUUUUGUUAAAAGGGGUUUGUUGGUAUGUGUUUUCUUUUUGUCAGUCAUUCUGUUAAGUUUUCCUAAGUAAUAAUUAUGCCGCAAUGAUUUAGUAAUGAUGGCUUCAAGAAUCAGUACUGUCUAUUUCUGUUAUUCCCAGAUCUGCCUUUCACCCUUGAUUGACUUUACAAACCCUAUGAUUAUAGUCAUGAUUACCAUCAGCUGCAGGUUUUUUCCAGCUAGCUAGCUAGGGUUUCAUUUCAGGGUUCCAUAAGUGGGUUUAGUUCUCCCCUUGAUGAGCAACUUGUAUUUAGAAGCAGCCAUAACUUCCACAACAUGUGCAAAAUGAUACUACUCCAUAUACAUUAGAUGUUCUAGCAUUUUAUAGUUAGCAGUCUAAUCAACAAAACUCCUAGUUUAGUGUUUGUUUAAUGCUUAGAAUUAGUAUGUAUGUAAUACCAUUUUACGAUCAUAGAAACUAUUUUGCAGGAGACUCUACUGCAUCGAUUUUGGGGUCAAAGCUGAAGUCUCAUCGAAAACACGGGGACGUUUUGUAAGCGAGCGCUGAUGUGUAUACUCCCUCCGUUCCAAUUUAUUUGUCCAAUUGUCGAAAUUCGUAUCUUUCAAAAAUAUACUUAUAUCUUACAUUUUAUAAUUUUUUUAUGAUUUUGAAGAUUUUGUAUAAUAAAACUAAUUGAGAUCUAUCAAAUAAGAUCCAUAUUACAUAUUAAAAAUAUUACGAAUUAAAAAUUAUAGACAAUUCUUUGAGAGGUCAAACACUCUCAGAAAGAUGACAAACAAACCGGGACGGAGGGAGUAUUUAACUCCACCAAGCGGUUUUGGAAAGCUGAACUUAGCAUUGAUCAGUUCUUGUUAUUUACUACUAGUUGGGAUUCUAGAUUUCAUUUUUGUCUAUUGUAAGGCUGCUUCCAUAUGGUUACAUAUAGCUAGGGCUAUAAUGCUUAUUGACUGUACUUACUUAAGCUAUAAGUGACUUUGGAUUGAUGGGAAAGGCUUGAAA
Molecule: long non-coding RNA, 1872 nt
Organism: Rhododendron vialii
Lineage: Eukaryota; Viridiplantae; Streptophyta; Magnoliopsida; Ericales; Ericaceae
Exons: 2
Source: RefSeq, a predicted model, not a curated record